UACGUAGGGUGCGAGCGUUUGUCCGGAAUUAUUGGGCGUAAAGAGCUCGUAGGCGGUUUGUCACGUCUGCUGUGAAAACUGGAGGCUCAACCUCCAGCCUGCAGUGGGUACGGGCAGACUAGAGUGCGGUAGGGGGAGAUUGGAAUUCCUGGUGUAGCGGUGGAAUGCGCAGAUAUCAGGAGGAACACCGGUGGCGAAGGCGGGACUCUGGGCCGAUACUGACGCUGGAGGAGCGAAAGCGUGGGGAGCGAACAGG
Molecule: ribosomal RNA, 256 nt
Filed under: uncultured bacterium
Lineage: Bacteria
Description: partial 16S ribosomal RNA
Rfam family: Bacterial small subunit ribosomal RNA
Source: RNAcentral